AACGAACGCUGGCGGCAGGCCUAAUACAUGCAAGUCGAACGGAUGUAGCAAUACAUUAGUGGCGCACGGGUGCCUAACGCGUGGGAACAUACCCUUGAGUAAGGAAUAAUGUCUGGAAACGGACACUAAUACCUUAUAAUGACUUCGGUCCAAAGAUUUAUCGCUCAAGGAUUGGCCCGCGUCUGAUUAGCUAGUUGGUGAGGUAACGGCUCACCAAGGCGACGAUCAGUAGCUGGUCUGAGAGGAUGAUCAGCCACACUGGGACUGAGACACGGCCCAGACUCCUACGGGAGGCAGCAGUAAGGAAUAUUGGACAAUGGAGGAAACUCUGAUCCAGCCAUGCCGCGUGAGUGUAGAAGGCCUUAGGGUUGUAAAGCUCUUUCAAUGGUGAAGAUAAUGACGGUAGCCAUAGAAGAAGCCCCGGCUAAAUUCGUGCCAGCAGCCGCCGUAA
Molecule: ribosomal RNA, 451 nt
Filed under: uncultured bacterium
Lineage: Bacteria
Description: partial 16S ribosomal RNA
Rfam family: Bacterial small subunit ribosomal RNA
Source: RNAcentral